CAGGACGAACGCUGGCGGCGUGCCUAACACAUGCAAGUCGAACGGNGUAAAAUGCUGAAUUGAUUCUAGCUUGCUAGAGGAUUUUCUGUUUACUUAGUGGCGGACGGGUGAGUAACGCGUGAGUAACCUGCCUUACAGAGGGGGGACAACAGUUGGAAACGACUGCUAAUACCGCAUAACAUACGGAUAUCGCAUGGUAACCGUAUCAAAGGAGCAAUCCGCUGUAAGAUGGACUCGCGUCCAAUUAGAUAGUUGGUGGGGUAACGGCCUACCAAGUCGACGAUCAGUAGCCGGACUGAGAGGUUCAACGGCCACAUUGGGACUGAGAUACGGCCCAGACUCCUACGGGAGGCAGCAGUCGGGAAUAUUGCGCAAUGGAGGAAACUCUGACGCAGUGACGCCGCGUAUAGGAAGAAGGUUUUCGGAUUGUAAACUAUUGUCUGCAGGGAAGAAACAAGACUGUACCUGCAAAGAAAGCUCCGGCUAACUACGUG
Molecule: ribosomal RNA, 494 nt
Filed under: uncultured bacterium
Lineage: Bacteria
Description: bacterial SSU rRNA
Rfam family: Bacterial small subunit ribosomal RNA
Source: RNAcentral